Molecule: non-coding RNA, 29 nt
Filed under: Homo sapiens (human)
Lineage: Eukaryota; Metazoa; Chordata; Mammalia; Primates; Hominidae
Source: RNAcentral
UGUCUAGCAUCUGGUUAUGUUGGAAGUGC